Molecule: ribosomal RNA, 1675 nt
Filed under: Salmonella enterica subsp. enterica serovar Bovismorbificans
Lineage: Bacteria; Pseudomonadati; Pseudomonadota; Gammaproteobacteria; Enterobacterales; Enterobacteriaceae
Description: partial 23S ribosomal RNA
Rfam family: Bacterial large subunit ribosomal RNA
Source: RNAcentral
GAAGAUGUAACGGGGCUAAACCAUGCACCGAAGCUGCGGCAGCGACGUUUAUGCGUUGUUGGGUAGGGGAGCGUUCUGUAAGCCUGCGAAGGUGGCCUGUGAGGGUUGCUGGAGGUAUCAGAAGUGCGAAUGCUGACAUAAGUAACGAUAAAGCGGGUGAAAAGCCCGCUCGCCGGAAGACCAAGGGUUCCUGUCCAACGUUAAUCGGGGCAGGGUGAGUCGACCCCUAAGGCGAGGCCGAAAGGCGUAGUCGAUGGGAAACGGGUUAAUAUUCCCGUACUUGGUGUUACUGCGAAGGGGGGACGGAGAAGGCUAUGUUGGCCGGGCGACGGUUGUCCCGGUUUAAGCGUGUAGGUGUGUGUUCCAGGUAAAUCCGGUUCACUUUAACACUGAGGCGUGACGACGAGGCACUACGGUGCUGAAGCAACAAAUGCCCUGCUUCCAGGAAAAGCCUCUAAGCAUCAGGUAACAUCAAAUCGUACCCCAAACCGACACAGGUGGUCAGGUAGAGAAUACCAAGGCGCUUGAGAGAACUCGGGUGAAGGAACUAGGCAAAAUGGUGCCGUAACUUCGGGAGAAGGCACGCUGACACGUAGGUGAAGUGAUUUACUCAUGGAGCUGAAGUCAGUCGAAGAUACCAGCUGGCUGCAACUGUUUAUUAAAAACACAGCACUGUGCAAACACGAAAGUGGACGUAUACGGUGUGACGCCUGCCCGGUGCCGGAAGGUUAAUUGAUGGGGUCAGCGCAAGCGAAGCUCCUGAUCGAAGCCCCGGUAAACGGCGGCCGUAACUAUAACGGUCCUAAGGUAGCGAAAUUCCUUGUCGGGUAAGUUCCGACCUGCACGAAUGGCGUAAUGAUGGCCAGGCUGUCUCCACCCGAGACUCAGUGAAAUUGAACUCGCUGUGAAGAUGCAGUGUACCCGCGGCAAGACGGAAAGACCCCGUGAACCUUUACUAUAGCUUGACACUGAACAUUGAGCCUUGAUGUGUAGGAUAGGUGGGAGGCUUUGAAGUGUGGACGCCAGUCUGCAUGGAGCCGACCUUGAAAUACCACCCUUUAAUGUUUGAUGUUCUAACGUGGACCCGUUACCCGGGUUGCGGACAGUGUCUGGUGGGUAGUUUGACUGGGGCGGUCUCCUCCUAAAGAGUAACGGAGGAGCACGAAGGUUGGCUAAUCCUGGUCGGACAUCAGGAGGUUAGUGCAAUGGCAUAAGCCAGCUUGACUGCGAGCGUGACGGCGCGAGCAGGUGCGAAAGCAGGUCAUAGUGAUCCGGUGGUUCUGAAUGGAAGGGCCAUCGCUCAACGGAUAAAAGGUACUCCGGGGAUAACAGGCUGAUACCGCCCAAGAGUUCAUAUCGACGGCGGUGUUUGGCACCUCGAUGUCGGCUCAUCACAUCCUGGGGCUGAAGUAGGUCCCAAGGGUAUGGCUGUUCGCCAUUUAAAGUGGUACGCGAGCUGGGUUUAGAACGUCGUGAGACAGUUCGGUCCCUAUCUGCCGUGGGCGCUGGAGAACUGAGGGGGGCUGCUCCUAGUACGAGAGGACCGGAGUGGACGCAUCACUGGUGUUCGGGUUGUCAUGCCAAUGGCACUGCCCGGUAGCUAAAUGCGGAAGAGAUAAGUGCUGAAAGCAUCUAAGCACGAAACUUGCCCCGAGAUGAGUUCUCCCUGAGACUU